GAUGAACGCUGGCGGCGUGCCUAAUACAUGCAAGUCGAGCGAACAGACGAGGAGCUUGCUCCUCUGACGUUAGCGGCGGACGGGUGAGUAACACGUGGAUAACCUACCUAUAAGACUGGGAUAACUUCGGGAAACCGGAGCUAAUACCGGAUAAUAUAUUGAACCGCAUGGUUCAAUAGUGAAAGACGGUUUUGCUGUCACUUAUAGAUGGAUCCGCGCCGCAUUAGCUAGUUGGUAAGGUAACGGCUUACCAAGGCGACGAUGCGUAGCCGACCUGAGAGGGUGAUCGGCCACACUGGAACUGAGACACGGUCCAGACUCCUACGGGAGGCAGCAGUAGGGAAUCUUCCGCAAUGGGCGAAAGCCUGGCGGAGCAACGCCGCGUGAGUGAUGAAGGUCUUCGGAUCGUAAAACUCUGUUAUUAGGGAAGAACAAAUGUGUAAGUAACUAUGCACGUCUUGACGGUACCUAAUCAGAAAGCCACGGCUAACUACGU
This 496-nucleotide ribosomal RNA is filed under the name uncultured bacterium. RNAcentral describes it as "partial 16S ribosomal RNA". It matches the Rfam family "Bacterial small subunit ribosomal RNA", at positions 28 to 506 of the family's 1533-position model. The record is from RNAcentral.